UAUCAAUAAGCGGAGGAAAAGAAACCAACAGGGAUUGCCUUAGUAACUGCGAGUGAAGCGGCAAAAGCUCAAAUUUGAAAUCGGUGUCCAUAAAGUACAUCGAGUUGUAAUUUGGAGGGACAACUUCGGGCCGAACCACACCGUAAGUUUUUUGGAACAGGACAUCAUAGAGGGUGAGAAUCCCGUGUCUUGGUGUAGGGUCAAACCAUGUGAAGUGUCUCCGACGAGUCGAGUUGUUUGGGAAUGCAGCUCAAAAUGGGUGGUAAAUUUCAUCUAAAGCUAAAUAUUGGCGAGAGACCGAUAGCGCACAAGUAGAGUGAUCGAAAGAUGAAAAGCACUUUGAAAAGAGAGUUAAAAAGUACGUGAAAUUGUUGAAAGGGAAGCGCUUGCGACCAGACUCGAUCUUUGGAGAUCAGCCGGGCUUCGGUUCGGUGCCCUCUUCAUUGAUUGGGCCAGCAUCGGUUCCGGCGGUGGGAUAAAAGGAGGAGGAAUGUGGCUCCCCUCGGGGAGUGUUAUAGCCACCUUCACAAUGCUACCAGUUGGGACCGAGGACCGCGCUUCGGCUAGGAUGCUGGUGUAAUGGUCUUAAGCGACCCGUCUUGAAACACGGACCAAGGAGUCUAACAUCUAUGCGAGUGUUCGGGUGGAAAACCCUUGCGCGUAAUGAAAGUGAACGGAGGUGUGAACCCUUUGCCGGGUGCAACAUCGACCGGUCCUGAUGUCUUCGGAAGGAUCUGAGUAAGAGCAUAGCUGUUGGGACCCGAAAGAUGGUGAACUAUGCCUGAAUAGGGUGAAGCCAGAGGAAACUCUGGUGGAGGCUCGCAGCGGUUCUGACGUGCAAAUCGAUCGUCAAAUUUGGGUAUAGGGGCGAAAGACUAAUCGAACCAUCUAGUAGCUGGUUCCUGCCGAA
This 910-nucleotide ribosomal RNA is filed under the name Geopora cooperi. Its description in RNAcentral is "eukaryotic LSU rRNA". It matches the Rfam family "Eukaryotic large subunit ribosomal RNA", at positions 41 to 965 of the family's 3401-position model. The record is from RNAcentral. Lineage: Eukaryota; Fungi; Ascomycota; Pezizomycetes; Pezizales; Pyronemataceae.